Molecule: ribosomal RNA, 430 nt
Filed under: Salmonella enterica subsp. enterica serovar Kentucky
Lineage: Bacteria; Pseudomonadati; Pseudomonadota; Gammaproteobacteria; Enterobacterales; Enterobacteriaceae
Description: bacterial SSU rRNA
Rfam family: Bacterial small subunit ribosomal RNA
Source: RNAcentral
UUGGUGAGGUAACGGCUCACCAAGGCGACGAUCCCUAGCUGGUCUGAGAGGAUGACCAGCCACACUGGAACUGAGACACGGUCCAGACUCCUACGGGAGGCAGCAGUGGGGAAUAUUGCACAAUGGGCGCAAGCCUGAUGCAGCCAUGCCGCGUGUAUGAAGAAGGCCUUCGGGUUGUAAAGUACUUUCAGCGGGGAGGAAGGUGUUGUGGUUAAUAACCGCAGCAAUUGACGUUACCCGCAGAAGAAGCACCGGCUAACUCCGUGCCAGCAGCCGCGGUAAUACGGAGGGUGCAAGCGUUAAUCGGAAUUACUGGGCGUAAAGCGCACGCAGGCGGUCUGUCAAGUCGGAUGUGAAAUCCCCGGGCUCAACCUGGGAACUGCAUUCGAAACUGGCAGGCUUGAGUCUUGUAGAGGGGGGUAGAAUUCCA